AAAAAGGGCUUCUGCGGUGCGUGACACGGGGGGCCCCUGCGGAAUUGAUAUCAAGAGAUUUCAGAAGCACAAUCUUUGUGAGGGGGGGUCGCUGGUACCGCCAGUGCGGCGCCCUG
Molecule: small nuclear RNA, 116 nt
Filed under: Otus sunia (Oriental scops-owl)
Lineage: Eukaryota; Metazoa; Chordata; Aves; Strigiformes; Strigidae
Description: U11 spliceosomal RNA (ENSOSUG00000008312.1)
Rfam family: U11 spliceosomal RNA
Source: Rfam by way of RNAcentral